This 3932-nucleotide unclassified non-coding RNA is filed under the name Hevea brasiliensis (rubber tree). The record is from RNAcentral. Lineage: Eukaryota; Viridiplantae; Streptophyta; Magnoliopsida; Malpighiales; Euphorbiaceae.
UAGCCCAAAAAAAAAAUUAUUAAAUAUUGAAUACUAAAAAUUGGACAACUAAGUCCAUAUAAGUAGUGCCUGUGACUACACAAAGUGGGUUUGCCUAAAGUGUACAAUUCAGUCCACAAAACCUACAUAUAAAUAGCCUUCACAAAUUUACAAUUCCAUGGUGAUAAGUUCACAAAAAUGUGUAUGCGUGCACAAGUUCAUCCAAUCCCUAAAUUAUGGUAUAUGGCAGAAAUCUGUCGAUUUACUUGACCGUAGGCUUUGCUCUACAAAACUUGUAUUUCAACAUUUCCUCCAAAUGUUUGAUAAUUGAUGAGAAUACUCCUGAAACUGAGCUGUCUUUCUGUUGCAAUGAUCCUUUCACCAAAAGGGUGCCAGGGAUUUGCUGAAAUACCGAAAUGCGAAAACACAAGUUAUUUUGAGGAGUGUGCAAAUUUGAACUGUUGGAUUCCUCAUCAAUAGGACUGCAAUUGGCAGUUUCACCACAAAGUUUUCCUUCAUCCUUUAGUAUUACAUAGCAUUGUUCAUUUGAUGCAGUAAUAUCAACAUCAAAUGAUGAGGCAUUCAAUUUACAGGAUGCGCCACUGGUGUGAAAAAAGGACUCAACUGAUUGUAAUACAUCCAUAGCACUGAAUUGGCGUUGAAUUCCCUCAAGCAUGAAAGACAGUAUACUCUUCCCAGCCACAAAAGGUGAUAUUAUCUUCCUGGCAGGAGGCACAAAAGACCAAGCAAGCCCCCACCUACAUGUUUGCCCCUGGACAAAUUCAGUUGUCUUUACUAUGGUGACUCCAACAUCCCUUAGCUUUGAGAUUAGAAAUUUGAGGUUUGCUUUCCUUCCAACCAUUGAAGUGUACCACCUAAAGGACUCCUUCAAUACAACACUAUCUUCAAUUAUACGAAUGAUAAAAGCCUUUUCUCCUCCAGGACAGACCAUCUCCUCAGGAGUCCCACCACAAGAAGUCUUUGGGUUCAAUCCUGCUUCCUCCAUGGUCUCAAAAAAUGGAGGAUUGCACAUGCAGAAGUCGAACUUCUCAUCAUUCCUCACUACACCAAGAAGUAUAGGCGGUCCAUGAUAAUUCUUGUUAGCAUCCACAGGCAAAGUAAAUGAACCUGAUUCAACCACACUUCCAUUCACAUCCAUUUUGUUUUCACCAUUUACAGAUUCUGCAUUGUUCGAAUCUUCAAUAGAAUGGAUCUCUUGACAGUUUGUAACCUUUCUAACUUCAAUUAGUUCUGAAAUAUGUGGAUUAUCUUUAACAUUUCUCUCUGCCCACUCUAUUGCUACAUCAGUCACAUCUGACCCAACAAAACUCCAUCCUAGAAGAGAUGCACCAAGGAGUGGGUAAAUGCAGUUAGCUCCGGUGCCUAUAUCAAAACCUCUCACAAUAUCUCCAUUUAUGUUAUUUUUCGGAAUGAUGUCAGAGAGAAGAUCGUCAAUCCAAUGGAUGUAGUUGGAUCUGUUUGGAACUGUAGGGCAGAGUUGCCCAUCAGGAAUCCACCAAUUGAGGCCAUGAUCAUGGAGAAGCAAAACCCGAGUGAGCUCCCGGGUGGAGUUAAAGUCGGUCCAGUCAAUUCUGGGUCUACCAUCAGGAGAAUAGAAUACAUAGGGCUUAAAAGAAGGGUAGAGAGAAGCAAGGAGAGAAAAAUCAGGUGGGUUAUCUGCAUAUUUGUUCUUGGGGUGGAUGGUUGGUCGAUCGGGUCUCUUCCUCUUGCUCUUUUUCUUGCUCGGCAUUUUCUUUUUUCUGCUUUGGACAGGGAUGACAACAGGAAGGUACCCGUAAAAUUUGAAGUAUCCAAAUCUGAACCCUUGUGAUAUAUAAGUUACCCGAAAAGGUCCUGGUUGACAGUCUUUGACCCAACAAAAGCUUCAAUCUUUUUCCAGUCACGAUCAAAUCUGAUGAAAUUGGGUACAGAAUGUGAGUGAGAGAGCGAGACACGGAUAGAUAGAGUAUGAACGACGGAGCGAGAGCUAGAGAGUGAGAGAGAGAGAGAGAGUGAGAGAUAGAAAGAGGGAGAGAGCACAGUUGCUACUCUUGAACGCUAUUUGAAUCAUUGGUGUUUAAGGUUUUAACUUGAGCAUUUGUGGGAACACAAAUUCUUUAUUAAUUUGAUAGGAUUGGACUUGUUGAUGAUAUGCUGAAAAUUUCAACAUCUACUCUUGGCUAUGAGAAAUUGAAUUGGUCUACGCAGAUGAAUGUAGUUUCCCCAAGAUACUUAUACGUUGGUCUUAGUAGCCGGUAGUGCAGAUUUUGCUCAAAUUGUUAUGUCCUAUUUGCUCUAUGGUCUACUUUUUAUGUUACAAGGUAAAAUGUGAAAUUGUGAUGCAAGUUGGUGGGAAAAGUUUUUGUUGAGUAAUAAAAUCAUGUAGUCACAGGGACACUCGACUUAAAAAGUUGCUGUGAAAUUGUGACGCAAGUAGGUGGGAUGAGUUUUUUUAUUUUAUAAUAAAAUUAUGUAGUUGCAGGGACACUUGAGUUACAAAGUUGUGAAAUUGUUGUGAAGUUGUGACGCAAGUUGGUGGGAUAAGUUUUUGUUGAGUAAUACAAUCACGUAGUUGUAGGGACACUUGAGCUAAGAAUCAUAUAAAAUUUUACUAUUGGCUCCGCUCAAGGAUAUUUUCCAGUUAAAGAUUGAUCAUUGUCAUUUGAAAUUGAGAUUCUAAGUGUUGAGAGCCUCCAAAAAGAAACAGUGCAUUGAUUUACAUACGUUGUCACUGUGGAGAAUUUCUAUUGUUUUUUUAGUAAUUCAUCCAAUCUAUAUGUUUCAUUAGAGCUUGUUUAUAUGCUUACAUCACACACACAUUCAUUCUUCAAGAGAAAAUGAUUGAAUAGAAUUAUAUUUUUGUUACAUGUUUUGAUAUUUACUGGAAAAUGUGAGAGUUCUUAGGAUAGUUAGCUAGAGUGCUUUAUAUGUUCCCCUCUUAAUAUAAGAAUUUUGUGGAUGCUCAUUGAAUCUUCUUUACUUGCACAACGUGUGCAGCAGAUUCCAUAUUUGCAUUGUAUUUGGCCAUAAUCGUAAGAUGGAUAAGUUUUUCUAGUCAGUCCAUCAACCUGUACUUAUUAGAUAUUCCUCUUGCCAUGCAUCAUCUUUGCUAUGAAAUGUGUUGCUCCUCAUUGCAGUAUUUGAUAGUUAAGCUGCAUAUGGUUAGGCCUUCUUGAAUCUCUUUCCAAAGUGGAUAUUAUAUAUGAUUCUUCCAUAAAUCAAUUCUCUUACUCUUCUGCUUAAUUUGCUCUAAUUCACAGAACUACUCUUCCAUCAUUACUGUCCAUCCAGAGGUCAUCGAUGGGAGACCAGGGACAAUGGUCAUUGAGUCAUUUGUGGUUGAUGUGCCAGAAGGGAACACUAAGGAUGAAACAUUAUACUUUGUUGAGGCCCUAAUCAAAUGUAACCUGAAGUCACUGGCUAAUGUGUCAGAACAUUUGGCUGUGCAAGACCGAACUGAGCCCAUUGACAGAAUCUGAAGCAUGCGGGGCAGGCUACCAGUGCAGUGGUUUCUGUUUAUGCAACUGGAAAAUGUAAGGUUCCAUUGUCAGAGGCAGAUGGAGAGUUUCACAUCCUAGAGGCAAAGUUUCUUUUCUUUAUACUUUAUGCUUACUCCCUUUUCAUCAUUUGGGUAUCUUGUCUAUAGUAGCUGGCAAUUAAGAUCAUCUAUGGCCAUAUGCUUCCUAAAUGAACCAGCAAAUUAGAUUUUCUUACUUUGUGGUUUUUGCUAUGUUUUAAUAAUGGGUUAUAUAUUGACCUCUGAUUGUAAAUAUGAAUGCAUGGGGAGAAUUGGUUCAACUAUGAAACAGAUGCUUGUGGGCAUCGUCCUUGGAAAUUUUAUGUGCACACCUAUUUCUAUUUUGUGUAGGAAGGGGACAUGAGAUCAUAUAAUGUUGUAUUUUGGAAGAAACUAAAAAUACGUAAGAUGUGUUCUGUUUGUUUAUUGAUGCCAU